This 76-nucleotide transfer RNA is filed under the name Bdellovibrionales bacterium. Its description in RNAcentral is "tRNA-Lys". It matches the Rfam family "tRNA". From Rfam's summary of the family: Transfer RNA (tRNA) molecules are approximately 80 nucleotides in length. Their secondary structure includes four short double-helical elements and three loops (D, anti-codon, and T loops). Lineage: Bacteria; Pseudomonadati; Bdellovibrionota; Bdellovibrionia; Bdellovibrionales. The record is from RNAcentral.
GGGUUCGUAGCUCAGUUGGUAGAGCAGAAGACUCUUAAUCUUCGGGUCAGAGGUUCGAUCCCUCUCGGACCCACCA